This 1101-nucleotide ribosomal RNA is filed under the name Triticum aestivum (bread wheat). RNAcentral's name for it is "partial small subunit ribosomal RNA". The record is from RNAcentral. Lineage: Eukaryota; Viridiplantae; Streptophyta; Magnoliopsida; Poales; Poaceae.
AUGGCAAACUGCUUUCGGAGACAGUCGACAACAAUGCCUGUAACCCCUAGGAGCGAGGGCGAUAUCCGCCAGCAGGCCGACCUCCGGAGCUUCGCCUUCAAGGACCUCAAGGAAGCCACCAUGAACUUCCGGCCGGACAGCGCGCUCGGCCAGGGCAGGUCCGGAUCGGUGUUCAAAGGGUGGGUCGACGAGACCACCUUUGCUCCGGCCAGCCGUGCCGCCGGUAUGCCCAUCGUUGUCAAAACACUUGAGCAGAAAGACUUCCAAGGCCACAUUGACUGGCUGGCUGAAGUGAAACGCCUUGGCCAAUUGUCACACCCCAAUCUGGCGAAGCUUCUAGGGUACUGCCUCGGAGACCAUUAUCUGCUCCUCGUUUAUGAGUUCGAACCGCAAGGAAGCUUGGAGAAUCAUCUUUUCAGUAGGGGCUCAAAUUUACAAUCACUGUCAUGGGCUCUGAGGAUGAAGGUUGCUCUUGGGGCAGCCAAGGGGCUCGCGUUCCUCCAUAGCGACAAGGCCAAUAUCAGCUACGGUGGUUUCAGGACGUCGCACAUUCUUCUUGACUCGAGUUACAAUGCAAAGCUGUCUGAUUUUGGGAUGCCGAAGGAUGAACCAACCGUUGAUAAGAGCUUUUAUAUUGAUGAAUUGCCGAGCUACAAUGCAAAAAGGCUGUCUGAUCUUGGGUUGUCGACCGGUAAUACAGAGGACCCGACGGCUGAGAGCAACGUGUACAGUUUCGGGGUGGUUCUGCUGGAGAUACUGGCAGGCCGGCGCCGACUGGACAGGAACCGGCCAUCCGGUGAGCAAGACCUGGUGGAGUGGGCGCGACCGCACCUGAGGAGCAAGCGCCAGAUCUCCCACAUCCUGGACGCGCGGCUGGGCGGCCAGUACUCCCUCUCCGGCGCACAGAAGGCCGCCGCGCUGGCGCUCAAGUGCCUCUCUGGUAACUUGAGUGUCCGGCCGAGCAUGGAGCAGGUGGUUGCGGCACUGGAGCAGCUCCAGGACACCAAGGAGGCCGCAGUGAGUGAUCAGGGGAAGGCGAAUGGCGGUGGCGCCUGCGGCUUUGUCAAGAAGUUUGGUGGUAGCCGGCAGCAGCAACCAUAG